UACUGCUCUCUCCCACCCUCCUUACCCCUCUUUUUUCUUUUUCCCUCCUCCAUUUUCCUUGUCUUGCUAUUCUGGAAAUUGAAAUGACAGCUUCACUGUCAGUGAAGGAAAUGGGAAUUCUGCCAUUGGAGAGGAUGCUGUAUUUCCAUCUGUGAAGGAACUAAUGACACCUACUUAAAGGCAGCAUUGUGAAAAUUAAUUAAUUGACAUUAUUGAAAUAUUCUGAGGUGGAAAUCCUGAUCUUGCACCAUCCAGAAGAAAGAAAUCAUCCUCGCAGAAAGCGAGGAAAACCAAAUCUUUGCUCAGCUUAUAAAGGUGUGAAGCUGUUUUGUGGGAAUUACCAGAGCCUGCCCUCUCCCAGCCACUGCUUGACUUUGAGAAGUGGACUAGAUCUAAUUUUGAUCUGCAGCAAGCAUAAAUCACAGUUCACACUGCUGACAUGACUGUAAUUACACAUAUCUGAAGUCUGCGUAUUUGAGAGAAGAUCAGACCUGUUUAGUCAGCAUCCUCAGAGGGGGAGUCUCUGAAAGCGGAGCAAAUUCUCACUGGUCAUGGUAGUUUACAGACAAGCUGCAUCAGAGGAAAUGUGAAGAAAUGGUAAGGAUUUGACCUGAUGCACAGAAGCAUUUUAAAAGUCCUGGUGAAUCCUCAGCUGCCUGAGUCAACGUGAGCUUUGUUACUGACCUUAGUGAACUCAGGACUUCACUGUCGUGAAUGUUUGCUGCCUACCAGGCAAGUAAAUGCUUCUUUACCUCUGUGAUCUCAUACAUAAGUCUUCACAGAGCAGAUAUGUUCUCUGUUGCUGAUAACUUGGGCGAUGUGUGUUGACACCAGUUAGAAACAUGCUUUUCCUCUUGCGAAGGUUCUGCAUGCAAUAUCAAGAGCUGGAAGAGAGUGCAUUUGUGCCUUUUGAAGAAGCUCCUCCAGAUUCUUUUUGUCUCUUCAGUGUGAUACACCACUGUUUACAUUAUUUUUUAUCAAUUUCCCCAUACUUGCUCCUUUCUUCCAGGCAGUUAGAGCCUGGCUUUGGUCUUGUAAGAUGUAAGACUUUGUUUUAACAUGUUAUUGGAUAUUUUGGUUCUGUUGCAGAAAUCAAGCUGUCUCCUGGCAUCUCUUCUUUUGAUUAGGGCCUGCCAGAUCUCCCUUACGUUGAUGCAUUUGUUAAAAACUUAAUUAUUUAUUAAUUUCCUCUUCACUACCUUUAACUAUAUGCUUGGACUUUAAAAUGAUCAGUAAUGCUUUUUUUGUGUGUUGCCUUGCUUUUUUUUUGUUCUUUUGUAUCAACAUGGAAAGCCAUGGUAAUGGUACAGGACUCACCUCCAGAAAUCAAUGCUCCCAACCCAUUUACAUGUGUCUUUUUUUUUUUUCUGGAUGAUUUUUUCUGCUUUUCUAAAUUGAAGCUUCUAAAGCUGAAGACUCCAGGCCCUGUUUUUGCCUUAUUGACUCGCUGAAAUAUAGCAAAACUUUCCCACUUGCAGACCUGACUCAAUAAUCUAAUUAAUUCUUCUCAUUGCUGUGAGAAUGUUUACGAAAACUAGUAUAUUCUCAACUGUUGCAUUUAUACACCUGCUUCAUUUUUUCUUUUA
Molecule: long non-coding RNA, 1586 nt
Organism: Numida meleagris (helmeted guineafowl)
Lineage: Eukaryota; Metazoa; Chordata; Aves; Galliformes; Numididae
Exons: 5
Source: RefSeq, a predicted model, not a curated record